Molecule: ribosomal RNA, 450 nt
Filed under: uncultured bacterium
Lineage: Bacteria
Description: partial 16S ribosomal RNA
Rfam family: Bacterial small subunit ribosomal RNA
Source: RNAcentral
GUGGGGAAUAUUGGACAAUGGGCGAAAGCCUGAUCCAGCCAUGCCGCGUGUGUGAAGAAGGUCUUCGGAUUGUAAAGCACUUUAAGUUGGGAGGAAGGGCAGUAAGUUAAUACCUUGCUGUUUUGACGUUACCGACAGAAUAAGCACCGGCUAACUUCGUGCCAGCAGCCGCGGUAAUACGAAGGGUGCAAGCGUUAAUCGGAAUUACUGGGCGUAAAGCGCGCGUAGGUGGUUUUGUAAGUUGGAGGUGAAAUCCCCGUGCUCAACCUGGGAACUGCCUCCAAAACUGCAUGACUCGAGUACGGUAGAGGGUAGUGGAAUUUCCUGUGUAGCGGUGAAAUGCGUAGAUAUAGGAAGGAACACCAGUGGCGAAGGCGACUACCUGGACUGAUACUGACACUGAGGUGCGAAAGCGUGGGGAGCAAACAGGAUUAGAAACCCCGGUAGUCC